UGGGGAAUUUUGGACAAUGGGCGAAAGCCUGAUCCAGCAAUGCCGCGUGUGUGAAGAAGGCCUUCGGGUUGUAAAGCACUUUUGUCCGGAAAGAAAUCCUUGGCUCUAAUACAGUCGGGGGAUGACGGUACCGGAAGAAUAAGCACCGGCUAACUACGUGCCAGCAGCCGCGGUAAUACGUAGGGUGCAAGCGUUAAUCGGAAUUACUGGGCGUAAAGCGUGCGCAGGCGGUUUGCUAAGACCGAUGUGAAAUCCCCGGGCUCAACCUGGGAACUGCAUUGGUGACUGGCAGGCUAGAGUAUGGCAGAGGGGGGUAGAAUUCCACGUGUAGCAGUGAAAUGCGUAGAGAUGUGGAGGAAUACCGACGGCGAAGGCAGCCCCCUGGGCCAAUACUGACGCUCAUGCACGAAAGCGUGGGGGAGCAAACAGGAUUAGAUACCCUGGUAGUCCACGCCCUAAACGAUGUCAACUAGUUGUUGGGGAUUCAUUUCCUUAGUAACGUAGCUAACGCGUGAAGUUGACCGCCUGGGGAGUACGGUCGCAAGAUU
Molecule: ribosomal RNA, 548 nt
Filed under: uncultured bacterium
Lineage: Bacteria
Description: partial 16S ribosomal RNA
Rfam family: Bacterial small subunit ribosomal RNA
Source: RNAcentral